GGGUUUUGUGAUUUAGAAAUUAGGAUAACAAGAAUAUUUGUGGAUAGAUGAGUAUUCUUUAAGAAUUUUUCAUCAAUAUGUUGUAUUUCAAAAUAAUUUUCUUAGAAACUUCUAUUUUAGGAAAGUUUUCAUUUUUUGAGAAAUAUUGUAGAUUUUGGUUUGGUGAUUUAGAAAUUAGGAUAACAAGAAUAUUUGUGGAUAGAUGAGUAUUUUUUUAGAAUUUUUCAUCAAUAUGUUGUAUUUUAAAAUAAUUUUCUUAAAAAUUUCUAUUUUAGGAAAGUUUUCAGUUUUUUUGAGAAAUAUUGUAGAUUUGGUUUUGUGAUUUAGAAAUUAGGAUAACAAGAAUAUUUGUGGAUAGAUGAGUAUUGUUUAAGAAUUUUUCAUCAAUAUGUUGUAUUUUCUAAUAAUUUUCUUAGAAACUUCUAUUUUAGGAAAGUUUUCAGUUUUUUUG
This 451-nucleotide long non-coding RNA is filed under the name Brassica rapa (field mustard). RNAcentral describes it as "long non-coding RNA (BRAP_LNC008827)". The record is from RNAcentral. Lineage: Eukaryota; Viridiplantae; Streptophyta; Magnoliopsida; Brassicales; Brassicaceae.